This 485-nucleotide ribosomal RNA is filed under the name uncultured bacterium. RNAcentral's name for it is "partial 16S ribosomal RNA". It matches the Rfam family "Bacterial small subunit ribosomal RNA", at positions 29 to 523 of the family's 1533-position model. The record is from RNAcentral.
AACGAACGCUGGCGGCAUGCCUUACACAUGCAAGUCGAACGCGAAAGUGUCUUCGGACAUUAGUAGAGUGGCAAACGGGUGAGUAACGCGUGGGAAUCUACCUUAUAGUACGGGAUAGCCUCGGGAAACUGGGAUUAAUACCGUAUACUCCCUUCGGGGGAAAGAUUUAUCGCUAUAAGAUGAGCCCGCGUCAGAUUAGCUAGUUGGUGGGGUAAAAGCCUACCAAGGCAACGAUCUGUAGCUGGUCUGAGAGGACGAUCAGCCACCCUGGGACUGAGACACGGCCCAGACUCCUACGGGAGGCAGCAGUGGGGAAUAUUGGACGAUGGACGCAAGUCUGAUCCAGCAAUGCCGCGUUAAUGAUGAAGGCCUUAGGGUUGUAAACCGCUUUUGUCAGGGAAGAAAUCUUCUGGACUAAUACUCUGGGAGGAUGACGGUACCUGAAGAAUAAGCACCGGCUAACUACGUGCCAGCCGCCGCAGUAA